CCCCAGGUCAGGCGGGACUACCCGCUGAGUUUAAGCAUAUCAAUAAGC
This 48-nucleotide ribosomal RNA is filed under the name Fagonia cretica. RNAcentral's name for it is "partial 28S ribosomal RNA". The record is from RNAcentral. RNAcentral also lists the same sequence under 4 other names. Lineage: Eukaryota; Viridiplantae; Streptophyta; Magnoliopsida; Zygophyllales; Zygophyllaceae.